GAAAUGCGAUAAGUAAUGUGAAUUGCAGAAUUCAGUGAAUCAUCGAAUCUUUGAACGCACCUUGCGCUCCUUGGUAUUCCUUGGAGCAUGCCUGUUUGAGUAUCAUGAAAUCUUCAAAGUAAAUCUUUUGUUAACUCAAUUGGUUUCUACUUUGGUAUUGGAGGUCUUUGCAGCUUCACACCUGCUCCUCUUUGUUCAUUAGCUGGAUCUUAGUGUUAUGCUUGGUUCCACUCGGCGUGAUAAGUUAUCUAUCGCUGAGGACACUGUAAAAGGUGGCCAAGGUAAAUGCAGAUGAACCGCUUCUAAUAGUCCAUUGACUUGGACAAUACUUUUAUGAUCUGAUCUCAAAUCAGGUAGGACUACCCGCUGAACUUAAGC
Molecule: unclassified non-coding RNA, 378 nt
Filed under: plant metagenome
Description: partial contains 5.8S ribosomal RNA, internal transcribed spacer 2, and large subunit ribosomal RNA
Rfam family: 5.8S ribosomal RNA (bases 1-105)
Source: RNAcentral